CCAAAGUGCAAAUUUGGUAACGCACCCGGAAAGGUGCCGGGGCCUCUCCCCC
This 52-nucleotide transfer RNA is filed under the name Sphaerodactylus nicholsi. Its description in RNAcentral is "tRNA-Cys". The record is from RNAcentral. Lineage: Eukaryota; Metazoa; Chordata; Lepidosauria; Squamata; Sphaerodactylidae.